UUGUCAUGCCAAUGGCACUGCCCGGUAAGCUAAAUGCGGAAGAGAUAAGUGCUGAAAGCAUCUAAGCACGAAACUUGCCCCGAGAUGAGUUCUCCCUGACCCUUUAAGGGUCCUGAAGGAACGUUGAAGACGACGACGUUGAUAGGCCGGGUGUGUAAGCGCAGCGAUGCGUUGAGCUAACCGGUACUAAUGAACCGUGAGGCUUAACCUUAC
This 213-nucleotide ribosomal RNA is filed under the name Escherichia coli O157:H7 str. LSU-61. RNAcentral describes it as "partial 23S ribosomal RNA". It matches the Rfam family "Bacterial large subunit ribosomal RNA", at positions 2721 to 2925 of the family's 2925-position model. Lineage: Bacteria; Pseudomonadati; Pseudomonadota; Gammaproteobacteria; Enterobacterales; Enterobacteriaceae. The record is from RNAcentral.